This 581-nucleotide ribosomal RNA is filed under the name uncultured archaeon. RNAcentral's name for it is "bacterial SSU rRNA". It matches the Rfam family "Archaeal small subunit ribosomal RNA", at positions 571 to 1149 of the family's 1478-position model. The record is from RNAcentral.
GCCGCCGGGAAUACUACAAAGCUAGGGAGUGGGAGAGGUAGACGGUACUCCGUAGGAAGGGGUAAAAUCCUUUGAUCUAUGGAUGACCACCAGUGGCGAAGGCGGUCUACCAGAACACGUUCGACGGUGAGGGAUGAAAGCUGGGGGAGCAAACCGGAUUAGAUACCCGGGUAGUCCCAGCUGUAAACUAUGCAAACUCAGUGAUGCAUUGGCUUGUGGCCAGUGCAGUGCCGCAGAGAAGUCGUUAAGUUUGCCGCCUGGGAAGUACGUACGCAAGUAUGAAACUUAAAGGAAUUGGCGGGGGAGCACCACAAGGGGUGAAGCCUGCGGUUCAAUUGGAGUCAACGCCAGAAAUCUUACCCGGAGAGACAGCAGAAUGAAGGUCAAGCUGAAGACUUUACCAGACAAGCUGAGAGGUGGUGCAUGGCCGUCGCCAGCUCGUGCCGUGAGAUGUCCUGUUAAGUCAGGUAACGAGCGAGAUCCUUGCCUCUAGUUGCCACCAUUACUCUCAGGAGUAGUGGGGCGAAUUAGCGGGACUGCCGUAGUUAAUACGGAGGAAGGAGAGGGCCACGGCAGGUCAG